GGGUAUUUCCCCCCAAAAAACGCAUCCCCUAGUCCUGGGAAGGGAACAGCCAGAGGCAGGUUCACCCCUUCUCCAUAGCUCCCCGGCGGUACAGCUCCAGAAAAGCUGGGGCUUUUUUUUUUCUCCCCCGGCUCCAGAAAAGUCGAGUUAAAGUCUCCUAAAACGCAGGAAUUUGCCCCAAAAAGCCAAACCACGGCGGCAAACAUCCGGCAGGUGCAACACAUCCUUGCCCCAAGACACCGGAACUCCAAGACCCGUUUAUAAGUGAAAAAUAAACCUCACGUAAGAAGUGACGCUGGCUUGCUUCCGCAUGCGAUUUAAUUUCCUUCUGGAAAUUAAAAAGUAGAGAUGGACAGAAAUAACAGUUCCUGGAGGAAUAUUUUUAUCCAGCACGGCUCUGGAUUCCCCCGCUGUCGCUUGCAAGCUGGGCUCCCUCUUGGGAGGGAGAAGUAGCUGAAGCAACCAAGAUUUAAUUAAGCUUGAAAUUAGCAUCCUGUUGAUUAAAGCCCUGUGCCAGGCGUUUCCUGGAGGAAAGGAAAGGAAAAAAUGAAAAAGGGAAAAGGAAAAUGGAAAAGGAAAGGAAAACGGAAAAGGAAAGGGAAAAUGAAAGGGAAAAUGAAAGGGAAAACGGAAAGGAAAGGAACUAUCUUUUUCCUUUCCAUUUUUUUUUUCUGCCUCGAGAUCUGCCAGGAUUUCUUUCCCUUUCUUAUUUUUAAUUUUAUUUUUUUUCCGUUUUCUCGCGCCCCAUCACCGCGCACCAACGGCCCCUCGAGUCCCCCCCAGCGCGUGUGCGGCGCGGGAAAGGGGAUCAGAAGCUCCUCCUCCUAUUGGCUGCCCGCCGAGCUGCGCUUUCCUAUUGGCUGCGCGCGAGCAACCAAUGAGAACGCGUCUUUCCGAUCCGUUAAGCAAAUGCCCGCUGGGUUUUUGCAUCGCUCCUGCCUCUUUUUACCCUCGCUGCGAGCCAACUCCGGGGAGCUGCUGUGGUUUGCCUGGGGAAAAAAAACAAAGCAGAUUAAUUUGGGG
RNAcentral lists this long non-coding RNA (1023 nucleotides) under Anser brachyrhynchus (Pink-footed goose). RNAcentral describes it as "lncRNA (ENSABRG00000001806.1)". Lineage: Eukaryota; Metazoa; Chordata; Aves; Anseriformes; Anatidae. The record is from RNAcentral.